RNAcentral lists this non-coding RNA (76 nucleotides) under bovine gut metagenome. RNAcentral's name for it is "Glycine riboswitch". It matches the Rfam family "Glycine riboswitch aptamer", at positions 9 to 86 of the family's 94-position model. Rfam says of the family: This family represents the bacterial glycine riboswitch. The record is from RNAcentral.
CGCUCCGGAGAAGUCCAUCUAUUGGGUGCCGAAGGUGCAAGGCGAAAGCCAAAUCUCUCAGGCAAAAGGACGGAGU